UUAAGCGACUAAGCGUACACGGUGGAUGCCCUGGCAGUCAGAGGCGAUGAAGGACGUGCUAAUCUGCGAAAAGCGUCGGUAAGGUGAUAUGAACCGUUAUAACCGGCGAUGUCCGAAUGGGGAAACCCAGUGCAAUUCGUUGCACUAUCGUUAACUGAAUACAUAGGUUAACGAGGCGAACCGGGGGAACUGAAACAUCUAAGUACCCCGAGGAAAAGAAAUCAACCGAGAUUCCCCCAGUAGCGGCGAGCGAACGGGGAGCAGCCCAGAGUCUGAAUCAGCUUGUGUGUUAGUGGAACGGUCUGGAAAGUCCGACGGUACAGGGUGAUAGUCCCGUACACCAAAAUGCACAGGUUGUGAACUCGAAGAGUAGGGCGGGACACGUGGUAUCCUGUCUGAAUAUGGGGGGGACCAUCCUCCAAGGCUAAAUACUCCUGACUGACCGAUAGUGAACCAGUACCGUGAGGGAAAGGCGAAAAGAACCCCGGCGAGGGGAGUGAAAAAGAACCUGAAACCGUGUACGUACAAGCAGUGGGAGCACCUUCGGGUGUGACUGCGUACCUUUUGUAUAAUGGGUCAGCGACUUAUAUUCUGUAGCAAGGUUAACCGUAUAGGGGAGCCGCAGGGAAACCGAGUCUUAACUGGGCGUUAAGUUGCAGGGUAUAGACCCGAAACCCGGUGAUCUAGCCAUGGGCAGGUUGAAGGUUGGGUAACACUAACUGGAGGACCGAACCGACUAAUGUUGAAAAAUUAGCGGAUGACUUGUGGCUGGGGGUGAAAGGCCAAUCAAACCGGGAGAUAGCUGGUUCUCCCCGAAAGCUAUUUAGGUAGCGCCUCGUGAACUCAUCUUCGGGGGUAGAGCACUGUUUCGGCUAGGGGGUCAUCCCGACUUACCAACCCGAUGCAAACUACGAAUACCGAAGAAUGUUAUCACGGGAGACACACGGCGGGUGCUAACGUCCGUCGUGAAGAGGGAAACAACCCAGACCGCCAGCUAAGGUCCCAAAGUCAUGGUUAAGUGGGAAACGAUGUGGGAAGGCACAGACAGCCAGGAUGUUGGCUUAGAAGCAGCCAUCAUUUAAAGAAAGCGUAAUAGCUCACUGGUCGAGUCGGCCUGCGCGGAAGAUGUAACGGGGCUAAACCAUGCACCGAAGCUGCGGCAGCGACACUAUGUGUUGUUGGGUAGGGGAGCGUUCUGUAAGCCUGCGAAGGUGUGCUGUGAGGCAUGCUGGAGGUAUCAGAAGUGCGAAUGCUGACAUAAGUAACGAUAAAGCGGGUGAAAAGCCCGCUCGCCGGAAGACCAAGGGUUCCUGUCCAACGUUAAUCGGGGCAGGGUGAGUCGACCCCUAAGGCGAGGCCGAAAGGCGUAGUCGAUGGGAAACAGGUUAAUAUUCCUGUACUUGGUGUUACUGCGAAGGGGGGACGGAGAAGGCUAUGUUAGCCGGGCGACGGUUGUCCCGGUUUAAGCAUGUAGGCUGGUUGUCCAGGCAAAUCCGGAUAAUCAAGGCUGAGGUGUGAUGACGAGGCACUACGGUGCUGAAGUAACAAAUGCCCUGCUUCCAGGAAAAGCCUCUAAGCAUCAGGUAACAUUAAAUCGUACCCCAAACCGACACAGGUGGUCAGGUAGAGAAUACCAAGGCGCUUGAGAGAACUCGGGUGAAGGAACUAGGCAAAAUGGUGCCGUAACUUCGGGAGAAGGCACGCUGGUGUGUAGGUGAAGUCCCUGCGGAUGGAGCUGAGACCAGUCGAAGAUACCAGCUGGCUGCAACUGUUUAUUAAAAACACAGCACUGUGCAAACACGAAAGUGGACGUAUACGGUGUGACGCCUGCCCGGUGCCGGAAGGUUAAUUGAUGGGGUUAUCCGUAAGGAGAAGCUCUUGAUCGAAGCCCCGGUAAACGGCGGCCGUAACUAUAACGGUCCUAAGGUAGCGAAAUUCCUUGUCGGGUAAGUUCCGACCUGCACGAAUGGCGUAAUGAUGGCCAGGCUGUCUCCACCCGAGACUCAGUGAAAUUGAACUCGCUGUGAAGAUGCAGUGUACCCGCGGCAAGACGGAAAGACCCCGUGAACCUUUACUAUAGCUUGACACUGAACAUUGAGCCUUGAUGUGUAGGAUAGGUGGGAGGCUUUGAAGCGUGGACGCCAGUCUGCGUGGAGCCAACCUUGAAAUACCACCCUUUAAUGUUUGAUGUUCUAACGUUGGCCCCUUACCGGGGUUGCGGACAGUGUCUGGUGGGUAGUUUGACUGGGGCGGUCUCCUCCCAAAGCGUAACGGAGGAGCACGAAGGUUAGCUAAUCCUGGUCGGACAUCAGGAGGUUAGUGCAAUGGCAUAAGCUAGCUUGACUGCGAGCGUGACGGCGCGAGCAGGUGCGAAAGCAGGUCAUAGUGAUCCGGUGGUUCUGAAUGGAAGGGCCAUCGCUCAACGGAUAAAAGGUACUCCGGGGAUAACAGGCUGAUACCGCCCAAGAGUUCAUAUCGACGGCGGUGUUUGGCACCUCGAUGUCGGCUCAUCACAUCCUGGGGCUGAAGUAGGUCCCAAGGGUAUGGCUGUUCGCCAUUUAAAGUGGUACGCGAGCUGGGUUUAGAACGUCGUGAGACAGUUCGGUCCCUAUCUGCCGUGGGCGCUGGAGAAUUGAGGGGGGCUGCUCCUAGUACGAGAGGACCGGAGUGGACGCAUCACUGGUGUUCGGGUUGUCAUGCCAAUGGCACUGCCCGGUAGCUAAAUGCGGAAGAGAUAAGUGCUGAAAGCAUCUAAGCACGAAACUUGCCCCGAGAUGAGUUCUCCCUGAGACUUUAAGUCUCCUGAAGGAACGUUAAAGACGAUGACGUUGAUAGGCCGGGUGUGUAAGCGCAGCGAUGCGUUGAGCUAACCGGUACUAAUGAACCGUGAGGCUUAACCUU
Molecule: ribosomal RNA, 2901 nt
Filed under: Klebsiella pneumoniae
Lineage: Bacteria; Pseudomonadati; Pseudomonadota; Gammaproteobacteria; Enterobacterales; Enterobacteriaceae
Description: 23S ribosomal RNA
Rfam family: Bacterial large subunit ribosomal RNA
Source: RNAcentral